UCGAGAAUCAUUCACAAUGGGGGAAACCCUGAUGGUGCGACGCCGCGUGGGGGAAUGAAGGUCUUCGGAUUGUAAACCCCUGUCAUGUGGGAGCAAAUUAAAAAGAUAGUACCACAAGAGGAAGAGACGGCUAACUCUGUGCCAGCAGCCGCGGUAAUACAGAGGUCUCAAGCGUUGUUCGGAAUCACUGGGCGUAAAGCGUGCGUAGGCUGUUUCGUAAGUCGUGUGUGAAAGGCGCGGGCUCAACCCGCGGACGGCACAUGAUACUGCGAGACUAGAGUAAUGGAGGGGGAACCGGAAUUCUCGGUGUAGCAGUGAAAUGCGUAGAUAUCGAGAGGAACACUCGUGGCGAAGGCGGGUUCCUGGACAUUAACUGACGCUGAGGCACGAAGGCCAGGGGAGCGAAAGGGAUUAGAUACCCCUGUAGUCCUGGCAGUAAACGGUGCACGCUUGGUGUGCGGGGAAUCGACCCCCUGCGUGCCGGAGCUAACGCGUUAAGCGUGCCGCCUGGGGAGUACGGUCGCAAGAUUAAAACUCAAAGAAAUUGACGGGGACCCGCACAAGCGGUGGAGUAUGUGGCUUAAUUCGAUGCAACGCGAAGAACCUUACCUGGGCUUGACAUGUAAUGAACAACAUGUGAAAGCAUGCGACUCUUCGGAGGCGUUACACAGGUGCUGCAUGGCCGUCGUCAGCUCGUGUCGUGAGAUGUUUGGUUAAGUCCAGCAACGAGCGCAACCCCUGUUGCCAGUUACCAGCACGUGAAGGUGGGGACUCUGGCGAGACUGCCCAGAUCAACUGGGAGGAAGGUGGGGACGACGUCAGGUCAGUAUGGCCCUUAUGCCCAGGGCUGCACACGUACUACAAUGCCCAGUACAGAGGGGGCCGAAGCCGCGAGGCGGAGGAAAUCCUGAAAACUGGGCCCAGUUCGGACUGUAGGCUGCAACCCGCCUACACGAAGCCGGAAUCGCUAGUAAUGGCGCAUCAGCUACGGCGCCGUGAAUACGUUCCCGGGUCUUGUACACACCGCCCGUCACA
This 1035-nucleotide ribosomal RNA is filed under the name human gut metagenome. RNAcentral's name for it is "bacterial SSU rRNA". It matches the Rfam family "Bacterial small subunit ribosomal RNA", at positions 355 to 1401 of the family's 1533-position model. The record is from RNAcentral.